This 466-nucleotide ribosomal RNA is filed under the name uncultured bacterium. Its description in RNAcentral is "partial 16S ribosomal RNA". It matches the Rfam family "Bacterial small subunit ribosomal RNA", at positions 28 to 507 of the family's 1533-position model. The record is from RNAcentral.
GACGAACGCUGGCGGCGCGCCUAACACAUGCAAGUCGAACGAGCGAGCGAGAGCUUUCUUUCUUGAGCGAUUGGCGAACGGGUGAGUAACGCGUGAGGAACCUGCCCCUAAGAGGCGGACAACAGUUGGAAACGACUGCUAAUACCCCAUAAGCUCUCGGUGCCGCCUGGCACAGAUGGAAAAAGAGCAAUAUGCUUUGAGAUGGCCGCGCAUCCGAUUAGCUAGUUGGUGAGGUAACGGCCCCCCAAGGCGACGACCGGUAUACGGACAGAGAGGUAGAGCGGCGACACUGGGACGGAGACGCGGCCGGGACUCCUACGGGAGGGACGAGAGGGGGAUAUAGCAACACCGGGGAAACGAUGAUGCAGCGAGGCCGCGUGAAGGAAGAAGGUAUUCGGAUUGUAAUGUCCUGUUGUUGGGGCAGAUAAUGACGGUACCCAACAAGGAAGUGACGGCUAACUACGUG